This 406-nucleotide ribosomal RNA is filed under the name uncultured bacterium. RNAcentral's name for it is "partial 16S ribosomal RNA". It matches the Rfam family "Bacterial small subunit ribosomal RNA", at positions 30 to 526 of the family's 1533-position model. The record is from RNAcentral.
AUUGAACGCUGGCGGCAGGCCUAACACAUGCAAGUCGAACGAGUGGCGGACGGGUGAGUAGUGUCUGGGAAACUGCCCGAGGGAGGGGGAUAAAUAGUGGAAACGGUAGCUAAUACCGCAUACCAUCGGAUGUGCCCAGAGGGGAUUAGCUAGUAGGUGGGGUAAAGGCUCAUCUAGGCGACGAUCCCUCGCUGGUCUGAGAGGAUGACCAGCCACACUGGAACUGAGACACGGUCCAGACUCCUACGGGAGGCAGCAGUGGGGAAUAUUGCACAAUGGGCGCAAGCCUGAUGCAGCCAUGCCGCGUGUAUGAAGAAGGCCUUCGGGUUGUAAAGUACUUUCAGCGGGGAGGCGUUACCCGCAGAAGAAGCACCGGCUAACUCCGUGCCAGCAGCCGCGGUAAUUC